AAAAUAUAUACAAUAAGAAGACAUGAGCCACACCAUACAAAUAA
RNAcentral lists this small RNA (44 nucleotides) under Arabidopsis thaliana (thale cress). RNAcentral describes it as "ATSL091470". Lineage: Eukaryota; Viridiplantae; Streptophyta; Magnoliopsida; Brassicales; Brassicaceae. The record is from RNAcentral.